CAGAGAAUAGUUUAAAUAAAAUUUUAGUUUUGGAGAUUAAAGAUGAGAAGUUAUUCUUUUCUCUGA
RNAcentral lists this transfer RNA (66 nucleotides) under Anthaxia sp. ANT01. Its description in RNAcentral is "tRNA-Pro". The record is from RNAcentral. Lineage: Eukaryota; Metazoa; Arthropoda; Insecta; Coleoptera; Buprestidae.